CCGGUUGAUCCUGCCGGACCUGACUGCUAUCGGGAUGAGGCUAAGCCAUGGAAGUCGACGUGCGCCCUUGCGCACGUGGCGUACGGCUCAGUAACGCGUGGCUAACCUGCCCUCGCGACGGGGAUAACCUCGGGAAACUGAGGAUAAUCCCCGAUAGGCGAGCGGCUUUGGAAGAACCGCUCACCCAAAGGGACGAAGGGAACGGCCUUCGUCCGCGCGAGGAUGGGGCUGCGUCCCAUCAGGCAGUUGGUGGGGUAAUGGCCCACCAAGCCUAUGACCGGUGCGGGCUCUGAGAGGAGGAGCCCGGAGAUGGACCCUGAGACAAGGGUCCAGGCCCUACGGGGCGCAGCAGGCGCGAAACCUUCGCAAUGCCCGAAAGGGUGACGAGGCUACCCCGAGUGCCGUCCGCUAAGGACGGCUUUUGUCGGGUCUAAAAAGCCCGACGAAUAAGGGGAGGGCAAGUCUGGUGUCAGCCGCCGCGGUAAUACCAGCAAUC
Molecule: ribosomal RNA, 496 nt
Filed under: uncultured crenarchaeote
Lineage: Archaea; Thermoproteati; Thermoproteota
Description: bacterial SSU rRNA
Rfam family: Archaeal small subunit ribosomal RNA
Source: RNAcentral